AAUUAAUUGUAUUUUAAAUACAAAGUGGAGAAGGCUAUUGGUGCGAGCCCACGGUCAGAGUCAGUUGUUCCUGAUCCAGUCCCAAAAUCUAACCAUAAAAUUCUACGUACAUAUAUAUAACUGCUGCAACUCAGACAUCACACAAUUGCAAAGAUAAUGAAAAUAAAUACAUUCAUCUAAUAGAUAGAGAUGUAUAAAACAGAAGGACUCCAACUAGAAAACAGGAGUGCACCAACAGGACUCUCAAAGAACACAAAGGACUGCUUUACAAUUUGUUUGAUCAAAAGAACCCAAAAAUCGCAGCAUUCCAGGAAUCUGCAUACAAAUGCCAUGGCAUAUGUAGAUAAAUCUCCACCUACAAAAUCCCCUUUUGAUCAUUCACUAAUGUCAGCACAUCAUAAUAGUCCCUUUGAGAAGUCCAGCAUUUUGAUGAAAUUAACUGUCCAAAGGAAAAAAGGGUAGGGUAUCACAUUAAAUUUGCAGGUAUUACAAGUCUCAAAAUGUUAGAUUAGUUUCAUAUAUUUUACAGGAAAUAGCAAAUCUCGGUUUUCUCACCUGGAUAUGUAUCAACUUCAUAAAGAAAGACACUAAUAAUAGUAAAGCUCAGUUUUCUCACCUGGAUAUGCCUCAACUUCAUAAAGAAGGCAACUAAUAAAAAUAUAGAUCCUCAAAGUCAGACAUAGCACUGCGAGAACUCAUAGUAGACAUCAUCAUCAAUCAAUAAAUCAAUCUAACAAAAUUCAGAUAGGUAGCCUUCAUAAUAUGAUCCAGUGUCAGCAAUUUCAGCAUCAGAUGGAUUAGUCAUCAAUGGAAUCAGAGGGAAGCCGCAAAUCUUUGAUCCGUUCUGCACAUCUUUUCCAUAAAUGUCCUUCUAGACGGACAUUAAAACAUUGGCGCAGGUCCAAUGAUUCAAGGUUUGGACAACCAUCUAGAAUGGCUUGCAAGCCUUCAUUUGUCAGCUUAUUUCCAAAAAUCUGAAGGCAGGGUAAAUGAGGCAUGUUUUCUGCAACAGCCAAUGCCUCUUCAUUGCACUCUAUACAUGGAUGCCUGAACCCCUGGUUAUUUAGCUUAAAUGAUCUAAGUAGAGGACAACAAUGCCCAACAACUUCAAGAGCCUGCUUUGAUAAUGAGCAAAUAUGAAAUGUCAAGCUCCUCCAGCUAUGGAAAUUCUACAGCUGCUUCACUAAAUCCCUCACCUGAAAUGCUAUACCAGUCAAAGUCGUUUAAGAUGACUUGAUCUGUAAUGUGGUGAUCAUAGACCAAAAUAUUAGAUAUAAGCAGAUUGGUACCAACACAUAUAUAAAGAGAAAUUGAGUGCAACAUUUUCAGUAUAGGAACUAACAGAAGGAAGCUUCAACAUAGAGUAUUAGAAGAAGAAAUAUAUUGUCAGAGGAUACACAUUCUAUCAUGUCUCGCAAUACUACAAGAUAGGCACCUUUUAAGCUCAAUUGAAUCCCAAGAAUGGUAGACACUUGUGAGGAAACAACAAAAAGAAGUGGGUACUAUGUGCAAAUUGUAAGUCAUUGUUUUCAUAGGUAGGUUUAAAGCAAUGGAAACCUGCUUCUUUGUUGAUGAUUAAACACAAGAAAAAUUUCCUCCUUCCAAGGUAAGCCAUAACUGAAACAAGAUUUAUAGUUGUAGAGAGUAUUUCCAAGUACUUCUAGACACAAAAUAUUAGAACACACAAGAAAGGAUCCAAGGAUCCAACUGAUUUUUCUUACUAAUUGACUAUCACAUCCUUCUUCAUAAAGCCCACAUUUUCUUUUCUUUUUCUCACCUUUUCCCGCUUUUGGAGGUGAGCAAAAUUAUGCUAAUGAAAAAGAAGUAGUAAAUGCUUCAAAAGCUUCUCAACAGCCACCAAAUGAUAAUAAAAAAAAAAUUAUAACAAAUGAUUCAAAGCUUCCCAAUAGCCCUAGUCAGUCAUAGGACACCAUGUGAAAACCUCGGCUACCUAGCUAAAUCAUUCAACCUCAUCGAUAAAGGCAUAAAAUAAGAAUCAGCAAUCUGAAAAGCAUGUCAAAACACAACAUGAUAAGUAACCUGAAUUUCAAAUAUAUAGUGCCCGAUGGCCAACAGGCCUGUACCUGGCUUGAAUUAUCUACCAAAUUGUUUUCCUAUGGUUGUUCCAAUUCCAACCCAAUGCUUGUUGUCCUAGAAUUUCUCAAGGCUAAUUUUAUUUCAUCUAAAUGUAGAUUAAUAGAACAUAUUCCUAUAAAUAAAAAAUGGACAACAACUAGUAACAGCCACAAUGACUCAAAUUAUCGACUCAUAUACGAACACAAAAUUAUAAGAAUAACUUCAACUUGUUCCCCCUGCUAAUGGCUUCAGUAAACCACAAACAACGAAGUACAGAAGUUCCAUAUUCAAUUCAAAAUUAUCACAACAAAGAAAACCCUUUUUGUAAGAAUCCACAAGAAAACAAGUCAACCCCAGCAAUACAGUUAAAUAAACAAAAUUCCAUUUCCACCAACCAUCAAUAACUAUCGGCUAUGUAUUUGAGGAGAUCAUCAGUACCAAAAUACUCGAUGUUGAUAUCUACCAAGCCACCAGAACUCCUAUCAACAGCAUGCCUACACAUUUUCUUAAGACCAUAAUCCAUGUGCCAGAGAUCACCCAAAUUGCGCAUGUCGAUCGAUCUCCACACGGAGGGGUCCUUCCAAACGCUACGCCACGUGGAGCAGACGAGCUGCGCGGCGCUCAAGAUCUCGACCGCCCCAAGCUUCCAGAGGAUCGACGCCGUAACGUCCUGUGUCAGUUCCACCCAGUUCCGAUAUGGUUCUUGUGGUGGUGGCAAGAGUGAAUCCAUGGUUGAAGAAUUGAGUUUGGAAAAGAGUAGUCAGUUAUGAGGUUGUGACUAGGGUUUGGUUAGUAUCUGGUGCAGGAGUUUGGUUGUGCUUGGAACUUACGUGACGAUGCAGGAUUUUCUGGUGAAUGACUGAUGAAUCUUGGAUUUGGG
Molecule: unclassified non-coding RNA, 2956 nt
Filed under: Hevea brasiliensis (rubber tree)
Lineage: Eukaryota; Viridiplantae; Streptophyta; Magnoliopsida; Malpighiales; Euphorbiaceae
Source: RNAcentral